This 301-nucleotide ribosomal RNA is filed under the name uncultured bacterium. RNAcentral describes it as "partial 16S ribosomal RNA". It matches the Rfam family "Bacterial small subunit ribosomal RNA", at positions 509 to 807 of the family's 1533-position model. The record is from RNAcentral.
CAGCAGCCGCGGUAAUACGUAGGGUGCAAGCGUUAAUCGGAAUUACUGGGCGUAAAGCGUGCGCAGGCGGUUAUAUAAGACAGAUGUGAAAUCCCCGGGCUCAACCUGGGAACUGCAUUUGUGACUGUAUAGCUAGAGUACGGCAGAGGGGGAUGGAAUUCCGCGUGUAGCAGUGAAAUGCGUAGAUAUGCGGAGGAACACCGAUGGCGAAGGCAAUCCCCUGGGCCUGUACUGACGCUCAUGCACGAAAGCGUGGGGAGCAAACAGGAUUAGAUACCCGUGUAGUCCCUGUCUCUUAUAC